CCUUAUAUUUUCCCCUACCUUUCGCCUUGUUCUCACAAUUGUGAUUACACAAUGAGAUAAAACAGAGCAAACGCCCCUAUAUAGCCACAAGGAUACCAUAGUUUGUUCAAGAAAGUGAGUAUAACGGUAAAGGCCAAGGACAACCGAAGGAUGUGAGAUAACCGCACAGUCACAGGCCCAGGCACACUGAAUCCCAGCGAUAAGUCAAGAGCUGUCCAAACAUUUAUCUUUGGUCAGGGGAGUGAUGAUAUAUUUCUCUAUUACAAACCUGAUUCCGAGAUUCUUUCGAUUAAAAUCUCUACCGAGAGAGAGAGUAGCGACAUCUUUGAAUCAAAAGCGCCGGCAAAAAGCGUGUCUCUUGGAGCGAGCUCAGGCCCCCUGGCUACCCGGCGGAAGCCCAGCUCCGGCGGCAUAAAUUAUCUGCGCUGUGGAUCUAAAUUAAACAAAAACAUUUGACAUUGCCCACGGCUCUCAGGCAAAUCCUUUAAAGACAAACACAGGCAAGAGGCUGCCACUCCUUCCACCAUGCAAGGUUGUCUUACAAGGAUUCGCCAUUAAAAAUGUUAAUUAGUUGAGCAAACAGUGCGAUUGAGCUUCAACUGUGGCACUCUCUGUUACCAUGGAUGCAAAAUUGGUUAUAUAUAAUAAAUAUAAAAUACAUGAAAUAUCUUAAA
Non-coding RNA from Drosophila kikkawai, 674 nucleotides. NCBI's taxonomy places the organism in Eukaryota, Metazoa, Arthropoda, Insecta, Diptera, Drosophilidae. The record is from RefSeq and is a predicted model, not a curated record.